Long non-coding RNA from Vicia villosa (hairy vetch), 359 nucleotides. RefSeq lists it as uncharacterized. The transcript is spliced from 3 exons. The record is from RefSeq and is a predicted model, not a curated record. NCBI's taxonomy places the organism in Eukaryota, Viridiplantae, Streptophyta, Magnoliopsida, Fabales, Fabaceae.
ACACAUCCAAGCAGGUGCCAAGAAAGUUAUCAUCACUGCUCCUGUAAAGGGUGCUGAUAUUCCAACUUAUGUUGUUGGAGUGAAUGAACAAAACUACGGCCAUGAAGUAGCCGACAUCAUAAGGAAUUGUUAAGGGAACCAUGACAACUACACACUCCUACACAGGAGACCAGAGGCUUCUGGAUGCUUCACACAGGGACUUGAGAAGAGCUAGGGCUGCAGCACUGAACAUUGUUCCCACCAGCAUAGGAGCAGCCAAGGUUGUAUCUCUAGUGUUGCCACAGCUCAAGGGAAAGCUCAACAGAAUCGCCCUCCGCGUGCCUACACCUAAUGUUUCGGCUGUUGACCUUGUGGUGAAU